RNAcentral lists this unclassified non-coding RNA (445 nucleotides) under Hevea brasiliensis (rubber tree). The record is from RNAcentral. Lineage: Eukaryota; Viridiplantae; Streptophyta; Magnoliopsida; Malpighiales; Euphorbiaceae.
AUUUGACAUAACCCUUCUUCUUCACUUCACUGCGCAAACCCCAUCGAGAAUAGGGUUUUAGUCGCUCUCAGCACAGAGUGAACGAAGUAGAGAAAGCAAAUAUAAGGUUACUGCAAUGGCGUUUCUUAGUAAAUUUGGGAACAUACUGAGGCAAACAGCCAGCACGCAGAUAAAUAAUGAACUUUCUGCAUCCAGGCCAUCCCUCUAUCAAGCAAUACGAUGCAUGUCAUCUUCAAAACUUUUUGUUGGAGGUAUUUCUUAUGCCAUAGAUGACACUAGUCUGAGAGAAGCUUUUAGUAAAUAUGGCGACGUUAUUGAAGCAAGAGUUAUUCUGGAUCGUGAAACUGGUAGAUCUAGGGGAUUUGGUUUUGUAACUUACACAUCCAGUGAGGAGGCCUCUAGUGCCAUCCAGGCCCUGGAUGGACAGGAUCUUCAUGGUCGUCGU